Molecule: antisense RNA, 90 nt
Filed under: Streptomyces alboflavus
Lineage: Bacteria; Bacillati; Actinomycetota; Actinomycetes; Kitasatosporales; Streptomycetaceae
Description: ASpks TB sRNA
Rfam family: ASpks TB sRNA
Source: Rfam by way of RNAcentral
CUUCACCGAGCCGAGCCACAGGGGCGCGGUGCCGCCGGUGGUGGCUUCGGCUCGGUCCUGGCCGUACGUGGCGAGGAGCGCCUGGGCCUC